CAGUUUCCUGUAGCUGAAGCGCGAAUUCGAGAUUCCACAACACAUCUCCCAUCGUCGGCCGAUCUAAUCCGCUAUCGGAGAGGCAUUUCUCCGCCGUAUCUGCAAAUUUCUUCAAACAUUCCGGAUUGAUCUUCCCUUUCAGGUUAGGAUCGACUAUUUCCUCUAGAGUCCCUUUUCGUUUGCAAUUCAUCGCCCAAUCUCCGAGACUCACCUGUUCCUUGGGCAAGCUAGGGUUCAAAGCCGGCCUCGCGCAUAAGAUCUCGAAUAGAACAACACCGAAAGAGUAAACAUCUGAUUUCUCAGUCAAUUGUUGUCUUCUAAAGUAUUCUGGAUCUAAAUAUCCGAAACUUCCCUUGACGACAGUCGUCACAUGGCCUCCGUUCAUAUUCGGCCCGGUUUUGGAUAAACCGAAAUCGGAAACUUUCGCAACCCAAGUCUCGUCGAGCAAGAUGUUUGUGGUUUUCACGUCACGGUGUAUAAUCGUGUACUUUGCUCCUGUGUGAAGGUAAUGGAGUCCUCUCGCAGCUCCAAUGGCGAUCUCUAGCCUUCGUUUCCAAGUCAGUUGAGGCCUCUUCGUGUUGUAGAGAUGCUCCCUGAGUGUUCCAAGGGCCAUGUAAUCGUAUAUCAGACACAUUUCUCCUCCGUCGUCGCAGUAUCCGAUCAAGGACACCAAGUGUUUGUGCCUUAGCCUCGAGAGAAGCUCGAUUUCCGUCUCGAAUUCGUUUAGGCCUUGUUCUGAGUUCGGGUUUGAUUUCUUGAUUGCCACUUUUGUGCCUCCAUCUAUAACUCCUUUGUAUACUUUACCAAACCCUCCCACUCCAAUUACGUUUGACUCGUCGAAAUUUUGUGUCCCGUGUUUGAUUUCAGGCAGUGAGAAUCUUCUGCAUAAACCCGCUGCGAGAUUAGAUAGGUGGCUUCCGUUGUUGCUCUUACCAGAUAUAGUAGAUUUUGUUGCAGAUGUGUGGGAGUUUCCGUAAAUAGGAAGCCAGCUCGAUGUGUAGGAUUCGCUUCCAGGG
RNAcentral lists this long non-coding RNA (1016 nucleotides) under Eutrema salsugineum. Its description in RNAcentral is "long non-coding RNA (ESAL_LNC000450)". The record is from RNAcentral. Lineage: Eukaryota; Viridiplantae; Streptophyta; Magnoliopsida; Brassicales; Brassicaceae.